Molecule: unclassified non-coding RNA, 340 nt
Filed under: Hypoxylon investiens
Lineage: Eukaryota; Fungi; Ascomycota; Sordariomycetes; Xylariales; Hypoxylaceae
Description: partial internal transcribed spacer region
Rfam family: Eukaryotic small subunit ribosomal RNA (bases 1-46)
Source: RNAcentral
AAGUCGUAACAAGGUCUCCGUUGGUGAACCAGCGGAGGGAUCAUUACUGAGUUAUUAAAACUCCAAACCCUUUGUGAACCUUACUGUCGUUGCCUCGGCGUGAGCUACGGCUACCCUGUAGUUACCCUAUAGCUACCUGCAGCUACCCUAUAGUUGACCAGUAGCUACCCUGUAGUUACCCUAUAGCUACCCUGCAGCUACCCUAUAGUUGACAUGUAGCUACCCUGUAGCCGGCUUAUGGCCCGCCGAAGGACCGCUAAACUCUUGUUUUUUACCACUGUUUCUCUGAAUUGUAAACUUAAAUAAGUUAAAACUUUCAACAACGGAUCUCUUGGUUCUG